Molecule: ribosomal RNA, 251 nt
Filed under: uncultured bacterium
Lineage: Bacteria
Description: partial 16S ribosomal RNA
Rfam family: Bacterial small subunit ribosomal RNA
Source: RNAcentral
AGUCCUAGCUUGCUAGGGCUGUUAGUGGCGCACGGGUGAGGAACGCGUGGGAAUCUACCUUAUAGUACGGAAUAACAUUCAGAAAUGAAUGCUAAUACCGCAUAAUACCUCCGGGUCAAAGAUUUAUCGCUAUGAGAUGAGCCCGCGCUAGAUUAGCUUGUUGGUGAGGUAAAAGCUCACCAAGGCUACGAUCUAUAGCUGGUCUGAGAGGAUGACCAGCCACACUGGGACUGAGACACGGCCCAGACUCC